Molecule: long non-coding RNA, 418 nt
Organism: Rosa chinensis
Lineage: Eukaryota; Viridiplantae; Streptophyta; Magnoliopsida; Rosales; Rosaceae
Exons: 2
Source: RefSeq, a predicted model, not a curated record
CAGGAAAAGUACCAAUAAAAGACCAUGGAGAAAUGACCAGCAGGAUACCUGAACUUGAUGCUCUCCUGUCGUCGGGUUGUAGUCUCCAGCCUUGUGUUUCUUAUAUAGGGGGCAGUGAAGAUUCUAGAGGGCGGGAUAAACAUUUGUUUGAAAUUUGAAUCUCCCGAAGCUCAUGAAGAUAAGCUGUUGAUCGGAGACUUCGUCUUUGACUUUGAGAUUGAACUUGGACGCCCUCUGCCACUUUGUUCUUAUCACAAUUUGAAUGCUUUCUUCUGUUUCUUUUUUUCCGUAGCUUAUCCCCACCCAAGCUUGGUCAACCUUUGAAUUUGAGAAACAGAUAAUUUGUAAAUAAAUAUUUGUUUAACUGCUGUCAUUAUCCUCUUCUCUUUUUUUUUUUUUUGAAUAAUUGUGACAGCUA